UACUCGAGUGGCGAACGGGUGAGUAACACGUGGGUGAUCUGCCCUGCACUUCGGGAUAAGCUUGGGAAACUGGGUCUAAUACCGGAUAGGAGCCAUCUUUAGUGUGGUGGUUGGAAAGUUUUUUCGGUGUAGGAUGAGCUCGCGGCCUAUCAGCUUGUUGGUGGGGUAAUGGCCUACCAAGGCGGCGACGGGUUGCCGGCCUGAGAGGGUGUACGGCCACAUUGGGACUGAGAUACGGCCCAG
Molecule: ribosomal RNA, 243 nt
Filed under: uncultured Actinomycetales bacterium
Lineage: Bacteria; Bacillati; Actinomycetota; Actinomycetes; Actinomycetales
Description: partial 16S ribosomal RNA
Rfam family: Bacterial small subunit ribosomal RNA
Source: RNAcentral